CGGGGUAAGUAACGCGUGGGUAACCUGCCUCAUACAGGGGGAUAACGAUUGGAAACGAUUGCUAAUACCGCAUAAGCGCACAGUACCACAUGGUACAGUGUGAAAAACUCUGGUGGUAUGAGAUGGACCCGCGUCUGAUUAGUUAGUUGGUGAGGUAACGGCCCACCAAGGCAACGAUCAGUAGCCGACCUGAGAGGGUGACCGGCCACAUUGGGACUGAGACACGGCCCAG
This 232-nucleotide ribosomal RNA is filed under the name uncultured bacterium. RNAcentral describes it as "partial 16S ribosomal RNA". It matches the Rfam family "Bacterial small subunit ribosomal RNA", at positions 104 to 334 of the family's 1533-position model. The record is from RNAcentral.